Molecule: ribosomal RNA, 793 nt
Filed under: uncultured archaeon
Lineage: Archaea
Description: bacterial SSU rRNA
Rfam family: Archaeal small subunit ribosomal RNA
Source: RNAcentral
ACUGCUCAGUAACACGUGGACAACCUGCCCUUAGGUUGGGUAUAAACCCGGGAAACUGGGUAUAAUACCCGAUAGGUCUCGAUUGCUGGAAUGCAUCGAGAUUUAAAGCUCCGGCGCCUAAGGAUGGGUCUGCGGCCUAUCAGGUAGUAGUGGGUGUAGCGUACCUACUAGCCUACGACGGGUACGGGUUGUGAGAGCAAGAGCCCGGAGAUGGAUUCUGAGACACGAAUCCAGGCCCUACGGGGUGCAGCAGGCGCGAAAACUUUACAAUGCUGGCAACAGCGAUAAGGGAACCUCGAGUGCCAGGUUACAAAUCUGGCUGUCGAGAUGCCUAAAAAGCAUUUCAUAGCAAGGGCCGGGCAAGACCGGUGCCAGCCGCCGCGGUAACACCGGCGGCUCGAGUGGUAACCGUUAUUAUUGGGUCUAAAGGGUCUGUAGCCGGCCGGAUAAGUCUCUUGAGAAAUCUGGCAGCUUAACUGUCAGGCUUUCAGGAGAUACUGUCUGGCUCGAGGCCGGGAGAGGUGAGAGGUACUUCAGGGGUAGGGGUGAAAUCUUGUAAUCCUUGAAGGACCACCAGUGGCGAAGGCGUCUCACCAGAACGGACCUGACGGCAAGGGACGAGAGCUAGGGGCACGAACCGGAUUAGAUACCCGGGUAGUCCUAGCCGUAAACGAUACUCGCUAGGUGUCGGCCACGGUGCGACCGUUGUCGGUGCCGUAGGGAAGCCGUGAAGCGAGCCACCUGGGAAGUACGGCCGCAAGGCUGAAACUUAAAGGAAUUGGCGGGGGAGCAC